CUACGGGGCGCAGCAGUGAGGAAUAUUGCACAAUGGGGGGAACCCUGAUGCAGCAACGCCGCGUGGAGGAUGACGCAUUUCGGUGUGUAAACUCCUUUUAUAUGUCAAGAAAAUGACGGUAGCAUAUGAAUAAGCACCGGCUAACUCCGUGCCAGCAGCCGCGGUAAUACGGAGGGUGCAAGCGUUACUCGGAAUCACUGGGCGUAAAGGACGCGUAGGCGGGUUGGAAAGUCAGGUGUGAAAUCCUACAGCUUAACUGUAGAACGGCACUUGAAACUUCUAAUCUAGAGUAUGGGAGGGGGAGAUGGAAUUAGUGGUGUAGGGGUAAAAUCCGUAGAUAUCACUAGGAAUACCUAAAGCGAAGGCGAUCUCCUGGAACAUUACUGACGCUAAGGCGCGAAAGCGUGGGGAGCAAACAGGCUUAGAUACCGCGUAGUC
This 438-nucleotide ribosomal RNA is filed under the name uncultured bacterium. Its description in RNAcentral is "partial 16S ribosomal RNA". It matches the Rfam family "Bacterial small subunit ribosomal RNA", at positions 339 to 795 of the family's 1533-position model. The record is from RNAcentral.